UGGCGACCGGCGCACGGGUGAGUAACACGUAUGCAACCUGCCCCUGUCAGGGGGACAACCCGCCGAAAGGCGGGCUAAACCCGCGUACAUGCCACCGGGGCAUCCCGGAGGCAGGAAAGGCUUCGGCCGGACAGGGAUGGGCAUGCGGCGCAUUAGGCAGUAGGCGGGGUAACGGCCCACCUAACCGACGAUGCGUAGGGGUUCUGAGAGGAAGGUCCCCCACACUGGUACUGAGACACGGACCAGACUCCUACGGAAGGCAGCAG
Molecule: ribosomal RNA, 266 nt
Filed under: uncultured bacterium
Lineage: Bacteria
Description: partial 16S ribosomal RNA
Rfam family: Bacterial small subunit ribosomal RNA
Source: RNAcentral